GCGUUUGCUACGCGGAGGGACAUUAC
This 26-nucleotide ribosomal RNA is filed under the name Trichoderma koningiopsis. Its description in RNAcentral is "partial 18S ribosomal RNA". Lineage: Eukaryota; Fungi; Ascomycota; Sordariomycetes; Hypocreales; Hypocreaceae. The record is from RNAcentral.